Molecule: non-coding RNA, 148 nt
Organism: Kluyvera ascorbata ATCC 33433
Lineage: Bacteria; Pseudomonadati; Pseudomonadota; Gammaproteobacteria; Enterobacterales; Enterobacteriaceae
Source: Rfam
UUGACUUCGCUGUUUUUUCGACCUAUCGUAAAGGAGUUAGGGUAAGGGAGGAUUUAGUCCUCCCCCUGGUGUCUUAGUAAGCCGGUAAGCUAAACACUAAGAGUAUCACCAGCAUGAUGACCAACUUCAUCAUAACCCUUUCCUUAUA